Long non-coding RNA from Pipra filicauda (Wire-tailed manakin), 372 nucleotides. RefSeq lists it as uncharacterized. The record is from RefSeq and is a predicted model, not a curated record. NCBI's taxonomy places the organism in Eukaryota, Metazoa, Chordata, Aves, Passeriformes, Pipridae. The transcript is spliced from 2 exons.
GGAGCCUCGCACCUCCCGGCCCCGCGGGGUUGGCGCGGGCUCUGCCCUUGUCCCCCCGGAGCGUUUGAUGCGCCUGCAGACGGGGAAGGGCGUGUGUGUGAAAAGCGGGGGCAGAGAGCAGAGCUUGCUUCUGUUCUCCACGAAACUUGUGGGAUUCCUAAUCUGCCUGGGCCGUUGUCCUGAGGCUCCUGAGGCGCCUUUGCAGAAACCAACGGUAACUUCAGCAGGACGGUUUGCUUAAAGAGACAGGCCAAUCAACAUAACCACAUAUCAAUAAGUCUUGUGAUGAAGCUUGUCAGAGCAAGGAGUCUCUCCCAGCCCCUGCUGUUCACGGUCUGCCACACAAUCCAAUAAAUUCCUUUUCUGAUGAUA